RNAcentral lists this ribosomal RNA (468 nucleotides) under uncultured bacterium. RNAcentral describes it as "partial 16S ribosomal RNA". It matches the Rfam family "Bacterial small subunit ribosomal RNA", at positions 28 to 507 of the family's 1533-position model. The record is from RNAcentral.
GACGAACGCUGGCGGCGUGCUUAACACAUGCAAGUCGAACGGAAAGGCCCUGCUUUUGUGGGGUGCUCGAGUGGCGAACGGGUGAGUAACACGUGAGUAACCUGCCCUUGACUUUGGGAUAACUUCAGGAAACUGGGGCUAAUACCGGAUAGGAGCUCCUGCUGCAUGGUGGGGGUUGGAAAGUAUCGGCGGCUGGGGAUGGACUCGCGGCUUAUCAGCGUGUUGGUGGGGGAGUGGCUUACCAAGGCUUUGACGGGUAGCCGGCCUGAGAGGGUGACCGGCCACAUUGGGACUGAGAUACGGCCCAGACUCCUACGGGAGGCAGCAGUGGGGAAUAGUGCGCGAUGGGCGGAAGCCGGAUGCAGCAACGCCGCGUGCGGGAUGACGGCCUUCGGGUUGUAACCCGCUUUCGCCUGUGACGAAGCGUGAGUGACGGUAAUGGGUAAAGAAGCACCGGCUAACUACGUG